RNAcentral lists this unclassified non-coding RNA (338 nucleotides) under soil metagenome. RNAcentral describes it as "partial contains 5.8S ribosomal RNA, internal transcribed spacer 2, and large subunit ribosomal RNA". The stretch from base 1 to 120 matches the Rfam family "5.8S ribosomal RNA", at positions 35 to 154 of the family's 154-position model. The record is from RNAcentral.
GAUGAAGAACUCAGCGAAAUGCGAUAAGUAGUGUGAAUUGCAGAAUUCAGUGAAUCAUCGAAUCUUUGAACGCACAUUGCGCCCCUUGGUAUUCCAUGGGGCAUGCCUGUUCGAGCGUCAUUUCAACCAUCAAGCCCCAGCGCUUGUGUUGGGGGCCUGCGGCUGCCGCAGCCCCCCAAAAGCAGUGGCGGGCUCGCUAUCACACCGAGUGCAGUAGUUCAUCUUCUCUCCGGUCUUGUGAGGCGGGUUCCGGCCGUGAAACACCCCACUACAUUCAAGGUUGACCUCGGAUCAGGUAGGAAUACCCGCUGAACUUAAGCAUAUCAAUAAGCGGAGGA